GUUCUGGUAACCGUAACUCUGGGUCUUGCCAGGUUACAGAGCUCCUGUUAUGGAGCUCCUCCAGGCUGCAACCAGUGCUAUUGUUAUUGUGAAGCACCUCUGCGCUGUUCGGCCUUUGAAGUGUGCUCUUUGACGACGAGUGCUCCGUGUGAUCUCAGCCAGGCAGGCGUUUUCUUUAGUCCUCAGCGCUUUGCCUUUUCACCUCGUCAAACCCUUUCAAGCUAAACAAACCUUGUUCCAGCCUCGCUCACCGAAUCCCAGCCUGGGGCGGCACAAAGCGGCGUAGCAUCGCAGUUGGAACCGGCAUUCGAGUCGGAGUGGCAUAGCACUGCCUGGGCAAUGGGCAAAAGUGGCAGGAAGGGGGCAAGGGAAGGGCAGGGGAUGGAGCAGCCUGGUUGCGGGGAGGUGGCACUGAACGCGGGGGCUGCGGGACAUGCCGCUGCCUGGUGUCACCUUGUCCUCGAGCUCCGCGGGGACGCGGCUCCGUGCGGCACCAGAUUUGCGUGGCUAAGUCGAACGGCCGUGCAGCUGUGCUCUUAUCUGGUCAGAGGAAGAGGAUGAACAACAAAAGGGCCUAAGAAGCCCGGUUGAUGCAUGGGAAAGCCAUUGGUUGAGCAUUGUGGCUGCCCUUCUGCUGAGCAAAUAGUUCAAACUGUUCAUUCCCAUCUUCUAUUCUCUCUCCGGUACAUUGUUUGUGUCCUUGCAUUUCAUUCUGCAAGGAAGAUUGCUCUCUGGGCCUAUAAGCAAACAGUCCAGAAAAGAGCCAACUAUCCUCUCCUUUUCCCUGGAGAACUAGCAUUUUUAUUUCAGCUCCAAGCUGUCAAAGAGCUGGAGAGUUUAUGUCAGUAUCCUGAAUUAAUUGCUUUAAGCUGGAGCAGCCUAGAUGAGCCACCAAAUGUCCAGAAGAUGUUUAUUAAUAACGUUUCCCCCCGGUUUUGUACUGAGCUGCGCUCUCCCGUCCAGUGCCCUCCAUUCACUGCCUUGGGGUGGCAAAGCCAAAGCUGCUUAUGGGGAAUUAGUGCCCGCUGCCAGGCUUUGUCACCAUCCCCGUGCCCAGCGCCGGGAGCUUUGGUUGGGGCGGUUCGGUGCUGGGAGCGGGAGGAGGAAGGAGGAUUGCUGCUGGGGGGGGCAGGGGGGGGCUUGUUUAAACACAAAUAUCUUAGGUAAUUAGCCAAAGUGGCGAGGAAAUUACCGAUGGAAAAAGAAAAACCACACGGAAGGUAAACGGCUCCGUGUUUAAACAUGAUAUAUUUUAAAGUGUUCCCCAGCGUGAAAGUCGCUGUUUAAGGGAAUGAAGUAAUAAACCAAUUUAUAUACCAAUAGAAAGUGGAGAUCCUGAGUGCCUUUGUGUAAAUUUUCCACUUGACUUUUCAUUAUCUACCUGAACAAAAUCAAUCUAUAUGUAUGGGAUCAACGCGCAAUAUGAGAGAUAAAAGACGAAAUAAAUGCGCUUUGCAUAUCCCGCGGAUAAAAGCCGCGGGGCUCCAGCCUCCCUGCCAGGCAGAUGCGUUUUAUAAAAUAAAUCAUUUUGUGGAGGAAAAAGAGAGCAGAGAGGAGCGUUACUUCUUAAGUGUUUACUCCCUCGCUUGAAAUAUCGAUCCUGUCAAACGAACGGUGGUUAAUAAGUAACUCGGGGGAAAUGUGUCGCUCCGCGCAGGAGGAGCGCUGCUGCAGCAGGGGAUGCGCUGGGGCCGGUACCUGGAGCAGCACAAAAAGCAGAUCUAGAGCCAGAAAGAAGCGAGCACGCUGCCUAGCCCUCCGCCCCCUGCCUGGAGCUGGGCUUUGGGGUAGAGCAUCCCCCCCGGCCUCGGGGAUCCCUCUCUUUUCUCCCUUCAGGGUGAGGUGAAGAGGCAGGAACCUCUCGUGUGUUUUCUCGCUCACUAGCAGGAUAUAGGAAAGGUUAAGAGGCACUUUAGCAGCCACAGCCCCUCCUGGGCACGGUGGAUUCCUAUUCCAGCUGUAACUCCAGCCCUGCUGUAUCCUGCCCCCAGCAUCCUGCUGCACCAGGGAGCCAGAUCCAGCCCCAUGCAGGGCUGGACCUGCUUCCUAUGGCAUCACUGCGGCUGUACCCACACCAUCCAGCCAUGUGGGAUCUGGGAGUCGGGGAGGGUCUGUGGGGUAUGGGUAUGGCACUGAGCUUUGCCAAUUACCUCUGCGCUGGCAGAGCCGUGGUUGGCACCAAUACUUCCAUUUUCCAAGAGGAACAGGAAGAUCACAGAGCUCCAUCCAUUGCAAUUUAAAAAAAAUAAACAAUCUUGAAAAUAA
Long non-coding RNA from Numida meleagris (helmeted guineafowl), 2265 nucleotides. RefSeq lists it as uncharacterized. The transcript has 2 exons. Lineage: Eukaryota; Metazoa; Chordata; Aves; Galliformes; Numididae. The record is from RefSeq and is a predicted model, not a curated record.